Molecule: ribosomal RNA, 2907 nt
Filed under: Klebsiella pasteurii
Lineage: Bacteria; Pseudomonadati; Pseudomonadota; Gammaproteobacteria; Enterobacterales; Enterobacteriaceae
Description: 23S ribosomal RNA
Rfam family: Bacterial large subunit ribosomal RNA
Source: RNAcentral
GGUUAAGCGACUAAGCGUACACGGUGGAUGCCCUGGCAGUCAGAGGCGAUGAAGGACGUGCUAAUCUGCGAAAAGCGUCGGUAAGGUGAUAUGAACCGUUACAGCCGGCGAUGUCCGAAUGGGGAAACCCAGUGCAAUUCGUUGCACUAUCGUUUGAUGAAUACAUAGUCAAACGAGGCGAACCGGGGGAACUGAAACAUCUAAGUACCCCGAGGAAAAGAAAUCAACCGAGAUUCCCCCAGUAGCGGCGAGCGAACGGGGAGCAGCCCGGAGUCUGAAUCAGCUUGUGUGUUAGUGGAAGCGUCUGGAAAGUCGCAGGGUACAGGGUGAUACUCCCGUACACUAAAACACACAGGUUGUGAACUCGAAGAGUAGGGCGGGACACGUGGUAUCCUGUCUGAAUAUGGGGGGACCAUCCUCCAAGGCUAAAUACUCCUGACUGACCGAUAGUGAACCAGUACCGUGAGGGAAAGGCGAAAAGAACCCCGGCGAGGGGAGUGAAAAAGAACCUGAAACCGUGUACGUACAAGCAGUAGGAGCCCACUUGUUGGGUGACUGCGUACCUUUUGUAUAAUGGGUCAGCGACUUAUAUUCUGUAGCAAGGUUAACCGUAUAGGGGAGCCGCAGGGAAACCGAGUCUUAACUGGGCGUUAAGUUGCAGGGUAUAGACCCGAAACCCGGUGAUCUAGCCAUGGGCAGGUUGAAGGUUGGGUAACACUAACUGGAGGACCGAACCGACUAAUGUUGAAAAAUUAGCGGAUGACUUGUGGCUGGGGGUGAAAGGCCAAUCAAACCGGGAGAUAGCUGGUUCUCCCCGAAAGCUAUUUAGGUAGCGCCUCGUGAACUCAUCUUCGGGGGUAGAGCACUGUUUCGGCUAGGGGGUCAUCCCGACUUACCAACCCGAUGCAAACUACGAAUACCGAAGAAUGUUAUCACGGGAGACACACGGCGGGUGCUAACGUCCGUCGUGAAGAGGGAAACAACCCAGACCGCCAGCUAAGGUCCCAAAGUCAUGGUUAAGUGGGAAACGAUGUGGGAAGGCCCAGACAGCCAGGAUGUUGGCUUAGAAGCAGCCAUCAUUUAAAGAAAGCGUAAUAGCUCACUGGUCGAGUCGGCCUGCGCGGAAGAUGUAACGGGGCUAAACCAUGCACCGAAGCUGCGGCAGCGACGCUUAUGCGUUGUUGGGUAGGGGAGCGUUCUGUAAGCCGUUGAAGGUGGCCUGUGAGGGUUGCUGGAGGUAUCAGAAGUGCGAAUGCUGACAUAAGUAACGAUAAUGCGGGUGAAAAACCCGCACGCCGGAAGACCAAGGGUUCCUGUCCAACGUUAAUCGGGGCAGGGUGAGUCGACCCCUAAGGCGAGGCCGAAAGGCGUAGUCGAUGGGAAACAGGUUAAUAUUCCUGUACUUGGUGUUACUGCGAAGGGGGGACGGAGAAGGCUAUGUUGGCCGGGCGACGGUUGUCCCGGUUUAAGCGUGUAGGUGUGUGUUCCAGGUAAAUCCGGUUCACUUUAACACUGAGGCGUGAUGACGAGGCACUACGGUGCUGAAGUGACAAAUGCCCUGCUUCCAGGAAAAGCCUCUAAGCAUCAGGUAACAUCAAAUCGUACCCCAAACCGACACAGGUGGUCAGGUAGAGAAUACCAAGGCGCUUGAGAGAACUCGGGUGAAGGAACUAGGCAAAAUGGUGCCGUAACUUCGGGAGAAGGCACGCUGAUAUGUAGGUGAAGUGAUUUACUCAUGGAGCUGAAAUCAGUCGAAGAUACCAGCUGGCUGCAACUGUUUAUUAAAAACACAGCACUGUGCAAACACGAAAGUGGACGUAUACGGUGUGACGCCUGCCCGGUGCCGGAAGGUUAAUUGAUGGGGUUAUCCGUAAGGAGAAGCUCUUGAUCGAAGCCCCGGUAAACGGCGGCCGUAACUAUAACGGUCCUAAGGUAGCGAAAUUCCUUGUCGGGUAAGUUCCGACCUGCACGAAUGGCGUAAUGAUGGCCAGGCUGUCUCCACCCGAGACUCAGUGAAAUUGAACUCGCUGUGAAGAUGCAGUGUACCCGCGGCAAGACGGAAAGACCCCGUGAACCUUUACUAUAGCUUGACACUGAACACUGGUCCUUGAUGUGUAGGAUAGGUGGGAGGCUUUGAAGUGUGGACGCCAGUCUGCAUGGAGCCAUCCUUGAAAUACCACCCUUUAAUGGCUGGUGUUCUAACGUGGGCCCGUAAUCCGGGUUGCGGACAGUGUCUGGUGGGUAGUUUGACUGGGGCGGUCUCCUCCUAAAGAGUAACGGAGGAGCACGAAGGUCAGCUAAUCCUGGUCGGACAUCAGGAGGUUAGUGCAAUGGCAUAAGCUGGCUUGACUGCGAGCGUGACGGCGCGAGCAGGUGCGAAAGCAGGUCAUAGUGAUCCGGUGGUUCUGAAUGGAAGGGCCAUCGCUCAACGGAUAAAAGGUACUCCGGGGAUAACAGGCUGAUACCGCCCAAGAGUUCAUAUCGACGGCGGUGUUUGGCACCUCGAUGUCGGCUCAUCACAUCCUGGGGCUGAAGUAGGUCCCAAGGGUAUGGCUGUUCGCCAUUUAAAGUGGUACGCGAGCUGGGUUUAGAACGUCGUGAGACAGUUCGGUCCCUAUCUGCCGUGGGCGCUGGAGAAUUGAGGGGGGCUGCUCCUAGUACGAGAGGACCGGAGUGGACGCAUCACUGGUGUUCGGGUUGUCAUGCCAAUGGCAUUGCCCGGUAGCUAAAUGCGGAAGAGAUAAGUGCUGAAAGCAUCUAAGUACGAAACUUGCCCCGAGAUGAGUUCUCCCUGACCCUUUAAGGGUCCUGAAGGAACGUUGAAGACGACGACGUUGAUAGGCCGGGUGUGUAAGCGCAGCGAUGCGUUGAGCUAACCGGUACUAAUGAACCGUGAGGCUUAACCUU